AGGCUUGUAGCUCACSGUGGUUAGAGCGCACCCCUGAUAAGGGUGAGGUCGGUGGUUCAAGUCCACUCAGGCCUA
Molecule: transfer RNA, 75 nt
Filed under: Cronobacter turicensis z3032
Lineage: Bacteria; Pseudomonadati; Pseudomonadota; Gammaproteobacteria; Enterobacterales; Enterobacteriaceae
Description: transfer RNA-Ile(GAT)
Rfam family: tRNA
About the family: Transfer RNA (tRNA) molecules are approximately 80 nucleotides in length. Their secondary structure includes four short double-helical elements and three loops (D, anti-codon, and T loops).
Source: RNAcentral